CGUUAAGUAACUUAAUUUAAAGUAUUGGUCUCUUAAACCAAAUAAUAGUAUUUGAUACUCUUAAUGA
This 67-nucleotide transfer RNA is filed under the name Fieberiella septentrionalis. Its description in RNAcentral is "tRNA-Lys". It matches the Rfam family "tRNA". Rfam says of the family: Transfer RNA (tRNA) molecules are approximately 80 nucleotides in length. Their secondary structure includes four short double-helical elements and three loops (D, anti-codon, and T loops). The record is from RNAcentral. Lineage: Eukaryota; Metazoa; Arthropoda; Insecta; Hemiptera; Cicadellidae.